ACGCUCGACACCACGGGAGCAGCAGUGGGGAAUAUUGCACAAUGGGGGAAACCCUGAUGCAGCGACGCCGCGUGAGCGAAGAAGUAUUUCGGUAUGUAAAGCUCUAUCAGCAGGGAAGAAAGUGACGGUACCUGACUAAGAAGCACCGGCUAAAUACGUGCCAGCAGCCGCGGUAAUCUGAGCGGGCUGGCAAGGC
Molecule: ribosomal RNA, 196 nt
Filed under: uncultured bacterium
Lineage: Bacteria
Description: partial 16S ribosomal RNA
Rfam family: Bacterial small subunit ribosomal RNA
Source: RNAcentral